UGGGGAAUCUUGGACAAUGGGCGCAAGCCUGAUCCAGCCAUGCCGCGUGAGUGAUGAAGGCCCUAGGGUCGUAAAGCUCUUUCGCCUGUGAAGAUAAUGACGGUAGCAGGUAAAGAAACCCCGGCUAACUCCGUGCCAGCAGCCGCGGUAAUACGGAGGGGGUUAGCGUUGUUCGGAAUUACUGGGCGUAAAGCGCGCGUAGGCGGAUUAGUAAGUCAGAGGUGAAAUCCCGGGGCUCAACCCCGGAACUGCCUUUGAUACUGCUAGUCUUGAGUUCGAGAGAGGUAAGUGGAAUUCCGAGUGUAGAGGUGAAAUUCGUAGAUAUUCGGAGGAACACCAGUGGCGAAGGCGGCUCACUGGCUCGAUACUGACGCUGAGGUGCGAAAGUGUGGGGAGCAAACAGGAUUAGAUACCCUGGUAGUCCACACCGUAAACGAUGAAUGCCAGUCGUCGGGUAGCAUGCUAUUCGGUGACACACCUAACGGAUUAAGCAUUCCGCCU
This 501-nucleotide ribosomal RNA is filed under the name uncultured bacterium. RNAcentral's name for it is "bacterial SSU rRNA". It matches the Rfam family "Bacterial small subunit ribosomal RNA", at positions 355 to 874 of the family's 1533-position model. The record is from RNAcentral.